GGGGGGCUUCGUCCUAAACGGCCCCCGGCUCGAAGCCCCGCAGGACCCGCACGUGGUGCCACGCGCAGGGAGGAGGAAGCAGGCAGCAAGGAGAGCGGCGCGCACGGGGGUCGUUUCUCCUCCCCUGGCCGCAGAGGAUCCGCUGCUGGGCGGUGACGCAGCCCGGGAGGAAGGGGACGAGGGGAAGAGAGGCCCUGGGCGCGGGACGUGCGCUGAGCGCAUCUCGAAGGGGAAGAAGCUUCAGGCCCGUGAGGAGACCGUUCAGAAUGAGGUGUACUCGGGACUUCCCGUAUUCCUCUUCUACGUCAAACCCACGCGGUGCCUGCCGGAGAUCACUUUCAAGGUCCUGAGAACGCGGCCACGGAGCAGGGACACCCCGCGGCGUCUGAGCUGA
RNAcentral lists this long non-coding RNA (394 nucleotides) under Cairina moschata (Muscovy duck). Its description in RNAcentral is "domestica (muscovy Duck (domestic type)) lncRNA (ENSCMMG00000011000.1)". Lineage: Eukaryota; Metazoa; Chordata; Aves; Anseriformes; Anatidae. The record is from RNAcentral.